This 467-nucleotide ribosomal RNA is filed under the name uncultured bacterium. RNAcentral describes it as "partial 16S ribosomal RNA". It matches the Rfam family "Bacterial small subunit ribosomal RNA", at positions 28 to 507 of the family's 1533-position model. The record is from RNAcentral.
GACGAACGCUGGCGGCGUGCUUAACACAUGCAAGUCGAACGGAAGGCCCUGCUUUUGUGGGGUGCUCGAGUGGCGAACGGGUGAGUAACACGUGAGUAACCUGCCCUUGACUUUGGGAUAACUUCAGGAAACUGGGGCUAAUACCGGAUAGGAGCUCCUGCUGCAUGGUGGGGGUUGGAAAGUUUCGGCGGUUGGGGAUGGACUCGCGGCUUAUCAGCUUGUUGGUGGGGUAGUGGCUUACCAAGGCUUUGACGGGUAGCCGGCCUGAGAGGGCGACCGGCCACAUUGGGACUGAGAUACGGCCCAGACUCCUACGGGAGGCAGCAGUGGGGAAUAUUGCGCAGUGGGCGGAAGCCUGAUGCAGCAACGCCGCGUGCGGGAUGACGGCCUUCGGGUUGUAAACCGCUUUCGCCUGUGACGAAGCGUGAGUGACGGUAAUGGGUAAAGAAGCACCGGCUAACUACGUG